AGCGAACGCUGGCGGCAGGCUUAACACAUGCAAGUCGAACGGGCACUUCGGUGUCAGUGGCAGACGGGUGAGUAACACGUGGGAACGUACCUUUUGGUUCGGAACAACUGAGGGAAACUUCAGCUAAUACCGGAUAAGCCCUUACGGGGAAAGAUUUAUCGCCGAAAGAUCGGCCCGCGUCUGAUUAGCUAGUUGGUAGGGUAAUGGCCUACCAAGGCGACGAUCAGUAGCUGGUCUGAGAGGAUGAUCAGCCACAUUGGGACUGAGACACGGCCCAAACUCCUACGGGAGGCAGCAGUGGGGAAUAUUGGACAAUGGGGGCAACCCUGAUCCAGCCAUGCCGCGUGAGUGAUGAAGGCCCCAGGGAUGUAAAGCUCUUUUGUGCGGGAAGAUAAUGACGGUACCGCAAGAAUAAGCCCCGGCUAACUUCGUGCCAGCCGCCGCCGUAA
Molecule: ribosomal RNA, 449 nt
Filed under: uncultured bacterium
Lineage: Bacteria
Description: partial 16S ribosomal RNA
Rfam family: Bacterial small subunit ribosomal RNA
Source: RNAcentral